GCCGGGUGCGGUGGCGCAGGCUGUAGUCCCAGCUAUUCGGGAGGCUGAGGCUGGAGGAUCUCUUGAGUCCAGGAGCUCUGGGCUGUAGUGUGCUAUGCCAAUCGCGUGUCCACACUAAGUUCAGCAUCAAUAUGGUGACCUCCCAGGAGCAGGGAACCACCAGGUUGCCUAAGGAGGGAUGAACCGGCCCAGGUUGGAAACAGAGCAGGUCAAAACUCCCGUGAUGAUCAGUAGUGGGAUCGCGCCUGUGAAUAGCCACUGCACUCCGGCCUGGGCAACAUAGCGAGACCCUGUCUCU
Molecule: signal recognition particle RNA, 298 nt
Filed under: Cebus imitator (Panamanian white-faced capuchin)
Lineage: Eukaryota; Metazoa; Chordata; Mammalia; Primates; Cebidae
Description: Metazoan signal recognition particle RNA (ENSCCAG00000013814.1)
Rfam family: Metazoan signal recognition particle RNA
About the family: The signal recognition particle (SRP) is a universally conserved ribonucleoprotein. It is involved in the co-translational targeting of proteins to membranes. The eukaryotic SRP consists of a 300-nucleotide 7S RNA and six proteins: SRPs 72, 68, 54, 19, 14, and 9.
Source: RNAcentral